UACGGAGGGGCCAGCGUUGUUCGGAAUCAUUGGGCGUAAAGGGCGCGUAGGCGGCCGAUCAAGUCGGAGGUGAAAUCCCUCGGCUCAACUGAGGAAUUGCCUCCGAUACUGUUCGGCUUGAGUCCUGGAGAGGGUAGUGGAAUUCCCAGUGUAGCGGUGAAAUGCGUAGAGACUGGGAAGAACACCAGUGGCGAAGGCGGCUACCUGGACAGGUACUGACGCUGAAGCGCG
Molecule: ribosomal RNA, 231 nt
Filed under: uncultured bacterium
Lineage: Bacteria
Description: partial 16S ribosomal RNA
Rfam family: Bacterial small subunit ribosomal RNA
Source: RNAcentral